CUUUCGAAGUGUGCUCGAGCGGCGAAUCGGUGAGUAAGGAGUGAGCAACCUGCCCUUGGCUUUGGGAUAACCCUCGGAAACGGGUUACAAUACCGGGUAUUCAAUGUCUGCGGCAUCGUGGGUGGUGGAAAGCUUUGGCGGCUGAGGAUGGGCUCGCGGCCUAUCAGCUUGUUGGUGGGGUGAUGGCCUACCAAGGCGACGACGGGUAGCCGGCCUGAGAGGGCGACCGGCCACACUGGGACUGAGACACGGCCCAGACUCCUACGGGAGGCAGCAGUGGG
RNAcentral lists this ribosomal RNA (281 nucleotides) under uncultured Micromonosporaceae bacterium. RNAcentral's name for it is "partial 16S ribosomal RNA". It matches the Rfam family "Bacterial small subunit ribosomal RNA", at positions 76 to 358 of the family's 1533-position model. Lineage: Bacteria; Bacillati; Actinomycetota; Actinomycetes; Micromonosporales; Micromonosporaceae. The record is from RNAcentral.